RNAcentral lists this ribosomal RNA (450 nucleotides) under uncultured bacterium. RNAcentral describes it as "bacterial SSU rRNA". It matches the Rfam family "Bacterial small subunit ribosomal RNA", at positions 28 to 478 of the family's 1533-position model. The record is from RNAcentral.
GAUGAACGCUGGCGGCGUGCUUAACACAUGCAAGUCGAGCGAAGCACUUAAGUUUGAUUCUUCGGAUGAAGACUUUUGUGACUGAGCGGCGGACGGGUGAGUAACGCGUGGGUAACCUGCCUCAUACAGGGGGAUAACAGUUAGAAAUGACUGCUAAUACCGCAUAAGACCACGGUACCGCAUGGUACAGUGGUAAAAACUCCGGUGGUAUGAGAUGGACCCGCGUCUGAUUAGGUAGUUGGUGGGGUAACGGCCUACCAAGCCGACGAUCAGUAGCCGACCUGAGAGGGUGACCGGCCACAUUGGGACUGAGACACGGCCCAGACUCCUACGGGAGGCAGCAGUGGGGAAUAUUGCACAAUGGAGGAAACUCUGAUGCAGCGACGCCGCGUGAAGGAUGAAGUAUUUCGGUAUGUAAACUUCUAUCAGCAGGGAAGAAAAUGACGGUAC